Long non-coding RNA from Passer domesticus (house sparrow), 6453 nucleotides. RefSeq lists it as uncharacterized. The transcript is spliced from 3 exons. NCBI's taxonomy places the organism in Eukaryota, Metazoa, Chordata, Aves, Passeriformes, Passeridae. The record is from RefSeq and is a predicted model, not a curated record.
UGCACGAGCCCCUCACCAAAAGCCUUUAGCAGCGGCAUUCGCCCCUCUGAUUCCAUCGGGGUGUCAGACCUACCCUGAGCAAACCUUCUCCCCGUGCCUGACCGUACCUUCUCUCCCAGGGAUCUCAGCCUGGGGAGGAGAGCUGUGGUUGGCAUGAACCACAUUGCUCCAUCCAGAAGCACAUGAAAAGGCAAAACUGUGUUUUGGCUGUGAGAACUGUUUGGCCCUUUGGGGACCAUGGCACAGCGCACAAAGAGAGGGAAGAGGCCUGAAUCCAAGCUGUUACCAGCACUUCAGCGGGGGCAGUUUUAGGGACAAGCAUUUUUCCUAACAGCUGAUUAUCUGGUAGCUGGUCUAAGCAAGCCGGUCCUGAGGUCCUGUUUCAUGUGGCAGCUCCAGGAAUGACUUCCUGGCACACCCAGGGUUUUGUGGCACUCCUUGCUCUGGAGUAAUUUAAAAAGCAUAGCUGCUCUUUCCUUCUCCCUGAGGACCCCGUUGUUUGGGCCAACCAGGCUGUGGCUGUGCACCGAGACACAUCCCAAAUGCCAGGUGCUGGGGAAUUUGUGAUUGCUAUGUGUCAGUAAGGAAGAUCCACAUCGCUCCUCCUCCAGCUCCACCAACCACAAACCCACACACUUCUAGUGGUACUUCCCUACUCCAGCAAAAUAGUUGGCACUGACUAGAGAAGCAGCAGCUUGCAGCUGGCACAGAUCAGCCAUGACUCACUGGCCUCAGUGACUUUGAACUUGCUCACUUGUUGUUGCCUCUUCCUUCCCCCCUUUUCUCACAGAGCUGCACAAAGAGAGCUGGCAGGACUGCCCACCACCCCAGCGGGCACCACUCACCUUGCCAAGCAGGGCCCCCUCCAUGCCCCCUCCUGCCACCCCCCAGCUGCUUCGCCGCCAUCACAAUUGUGUUCACUUGCCUUUGAAAUCGGCAGGAGACAUCAGCUAUGCUCAGAUGAUUAAAAGAGAGGCAGAAGCACCUGCUCAUGUUUGGGGCUUAGAGCUGUGCUUGUGCUGAAUACAUACACUGUUAUUUGGGUGCCCAGAUACAGAAGCGUUGGAGGGGGACUUUUCUUCAGCUGCUGAAAUAUUCAGCCAGAUCACAGUGCAGCAGUUUGCAGAGACCACCUCUCCCAUCUUCACAUCACCACUGUCCCAAAAAAACCCUAUUAUUUUUAAGCACUUUAUGUGCUGGAUGCUCAAGUGUUUUUACCUUAACAAUGGGAGCCCUGUUAGGAUGGGCUAAAUGGACUAACCAACAGCAACAUCUUGCCCCACUGCAUACAUCAUGUCUCUUGAAAGCAUUUUGGGACCACAAAAUUUCAACCUGUAAGACACAUUUGGAUACUUAGGAGGUUAGGCAGUCUCUAACAUCAAGUGGGAAGGAAAGGACAUUUUUCCAAGGCAUGGGAACUAAUGGAGUGAGGGUGAACUACUUGUGACAGAUGGUUGUUGGCAGUUUCCUUGCUCGCUUCCAAAGCAUAGAUCCAAAUGAGUGACCAAAACAAGCUUGAACUUUCCUCCCUCUCACCUCUAUGACUUUUUCAUGGGGAGGGAGGUGGGCCUAGCACAUUUGCCUGAAGCAAGUUGUGGUUAUGAGCCCUGCACAACCCAAGCUUGGCAGCAGCCAAGGGCUGCCCAUGUGCAGAGAGUUGGUAACAACACAAGGGGCAGCCUGGUGUCACACAGGCUUAGCAGUGGGUCUGGUGGCAGUACUGACACAUUCGCCUGGCACUGCACCUGAGCUAAUAAGCCUUUGGUUUGUUAGCUUGGGCACAGCACUGCACUGACAUCAGGGGACCUGCACUGGUUCCCAGCCCACCAGCUGGGUUGCCUCUGGGCUGUUUUUCCUGGUUCUGGUGCUGGGUAAGCACAGAAAAUGUAAGGGCCAAGAAAGUUACAUCAUUCAAAGUCCCCCUUCCUUACUUUUUGUAACACUUACUAAGGCUGAAGCCCCAGCAGUUCUCCAGCUUUUGCUGCUGCCUCCAUCUCAGGAGGAGAUGGACAGGAAUGAGCAAGCUAAGGGAGGGCAUGGGAGCAGCUGUAAAUGGCUUUGUCACUGUGCCCACUGCAGUGCCCUGCAUGCCGACUCUUCCUUUUAUCCAUUUUCAGCCAUCAGACUUGCAGAGCAUCUUGCACUUGAAUCCAUCUCAUGGCUCCACACAGCAGCUUAGGGAAGGUCUGGGAAAUCAAUCACCUCUGCUCAGAUCACACAUGAAAUAUCAGCAGAACUAACUCUGUUUGUUUCAGCUGCUGGAUUCCAGGUCUGGAGUCACCUCAUCCAAAAGGCAGCAGGCGUAUCAUCAGAUAUGUUGUAGAGUCAGGCAAGGAAAGGACAGUGACAUUUUGAGGACCUUCUGGAAAUGCUCCCUUGUGCCAUGUAUUUCUGCAGUAAUGGACUGCACAUCUCCCUGGAGAGCAUUCCCUGCUUCGUGGACAUCCCUGCAUGAUGAGGCCCUGGGCACUUACGAUGUGGAUGCUGUAAUUCACUGCUUUAGGGCACAGCAUGAACAGUAUGUGAGAGCUUUCCCCCUGUUGUUUGUAAAAGAAAAAUCUGUGGAACAAGAUCAACAGUCAUAAAGUGCCAGGAAAUGAAUGGUCUUGUGGCCCAGCUUACAGGAAAGUGAGUGGCUCAUAUUCCCAAGCUGGGCUAGCUGCCUUGGUUGCUGACAUUUUUCUAGUGCCAGGAUCUGGCUGCUGCAGUAGAAGGAUGCAGCGAUGUGGGCUCUGUGGCAAAGCACAUUCCUCCUAAUGUUAACAUUGACAUCCACCCUUAAGUCCCAUAGGUGCAGAGAGGAGAGUUCUACUCAGUUACAUGGUUCAACCAACUGGAAAUGCAACCUUCUUAAUGUUACACUCAAUACAGUUUUCAAAUUGUCAUUAUACAAUGGAGUCCUUAGGACAUGGUGCUUUUCUCUGCUUGGUACCAAUAAUUAGCUCUGCAGGGAGAAAAUCACCAAAAUUGAAAAAAAAAACCUCUUGACCCAAACUGUUUUGGAGAACUUCUGGAAACUUUUUGGAACGGUGACCAGACAAGUCCAGACAAGAGGAAUCUGUGCCUGCUCUGCUUCAGAAGUUGAGCCAUGACAUCUCACUGGUACAGCAGUGCUGUUGGGACAGGGGUCUGGUUCCUUCCACGGGGACAUUGCAGCAGCAGUGUCUGUGCAUAGGGAUGUGUGUGAACUAAACUUUCACCAGGCUCUUCUGGACAGCGUGAUGUGUCCUCUUUUGUGCACUGGAUGUGCCAUUUCUUUGGCAACUCUGGGGACAGAACUGCCUUCCUGCAUGCAUGUACUGUAAACAGCAUGCUGAACAUUUAAGUCUGCACCUUAUCUAAAGGCAAAAAGAAGAAAAGUAUAGCAUAUUUUGGCAGCAACUUAUGCCACAUGGGCAAGAAUAUGACAGUUGUAGGAAAGCCUUCCUAUUGUUUUUUUCCACCUUCCACUCUAGCUGAGUCCAGGUCAAAAGUGCAACUGCCAACAGGUGUAUGCUUGGGUGCUGUGGAAGGAGAGUGUUAGCAAGGGUCCUGGCAUGUCAAAAGGCUCCUAGUACCUCCUUUAUUGACUUGUUCAGUCCAGAGGCUUCCCCUUUUGCAGCCAUCUUCUCUCUUCAAACAUAGAGAGGGCCAAUUUCCAUAUGCAUUAACAUUCCAGGGGCAUCACAGGAGCAGCAAAUCCUUUGAAGGGUAGAGAAGCUCUUUCUAGCUAUUUCCCCUUGGAGCCGAUUCCAACGCAAAUCUGCAUCUGAACAACUGUUCAGUGACUAAUGCAUGAAUUGUACCUUGACCAGUUGCAAUAUUGCACUCAGGAUUUUUUUAUACUCUGUUUCCACUGAACCAAGUAGGAUUUAAAGAAGCACUGUAAGAUUUAGUGAAAUGAGGGUUGUGUUUGGAGCCAGGGCUCAAGUGUUCUCCCUUCUUUUAUGGUCUACUCAGAUAUAGGGAACACACUUUAAAAAAUAGAAUUUCUCACUCCCAUGCACAAGGGAGCUAGCGUAGGUGGGAAGAAAAGGUCACUGCCUGCUCAGCCCUUGCCCCAUUGCACCAUUUCACCUGCUGGCAUUCCUCUCAGCCAUUCCACAAGCAUUAACAGCUUUUUACUGGAUUACUCUACUUUCUAUCCUGCUACACCUUUGAUCUACAUUACAUCUUGAAAUAUGGCAUUUAAAAUGUAAAAUAAAAAAAAAGAACUAAUUCCAUUAACUCAAAAUAGGUCUCUAAUUGACCUCUUAAUGUGGUGUAUUUAACAUGACACCAUACCAUUUUCAUAUGUAAAUGGGAUGAUUCUUAAUAAUUCAGUGCUUCUAUUUUCAUUCUAUAGAAUACAUCUUCAAGGGAGUUGGGAGAACGUUGUGAAUUUCUGUCAUUUAUCACUCUGCCACAAAAAUUAAACUGCAGCUGCCAACAUGAAACAGUGCAUUUUACACCUGCCUUCCUAUGCUUUGCUCCUGCGGUGCACAACUCCAAAACCUGUGUGCUUUUCUUAUAAUAAACAUAUUGAAAACUUCCUAAUCUGUUCAGUAGCAGGAAGAGGAAGGUGCUGACAAACAGCAUUUCCCAUUGCAGGAUUCAGCUCAGACUCCCAGCUAUUCUGAGGAAUAAAAUGUGCACAGAGGAGAACUUAUUAAUUUGAUUCCAUGUCGGGCUCGUAUGCAGCAUCUCCCUGUGCCACCUCCCUCUCCCCAGCCAGCCCGUCCCCUCCACCCCCCCGGUGACACUUCACAUUUAACCUAAACCCUCUCAGAUUAAGCGGGCGUGUAAUUUACUCCCGCAGCGAGGUCCAUUGCAGUUGUGGAGGUGAUGUAAAGGAGAGUUUGUUUAAACAGUGUUAAGCCUGCAAAACUGCAGGAAAAAACGCUGGUCUGGGCUGUCAGCAAAGCCUUUAAUGUGCAUUCAGUCUUGCAUUCAUCUGGGAUCUGUGUAUGGUAUUGAUUGAUGUUUUAUUACUGUUUGGUAGAUAAAAAUAUUGAACUUAAGAACAACUCAAUUGCGGGAAGGGCUUUAUAUAGUCAUCACAACAUGCUUCUGCUGCUGCUGUGAGUGUAGGAGGCAGGGUAGUUUUCUACCACUUAACAUGUAAAGUCUGACAUAUUUUAAGAACAUAAUCAAACUGCAGCUUUAGAAAUCACUUUAAACAUAAAAAAACCCCAAAGAAAUAAAUCCAUAGUCUUUUGAAAAUUUCCCUCAGCUAAACUAUUCCAAUAUGCUAUUUUUACUUUUAUUAUUUCUUUCCGCCUUUGGCAGCACAGGUCUUUUCAACCAGAUAGGGUAUAAUGGACCAUGAAAGCAGGAUACAUCCUCAGAACCCAAAUGUCAGCAGCAGUUAAGGUGAACUGCUUCAUUCUAAGGUGCAACGAGUUACCUUGUGCUUCACUGGAAACCUCAGCACUGGUGGGAGAGAGGGACUGGGAAAGGAGGUGGUUCUUCACCGAGAUGGAUUGUGACAGCCCUCAGGCCACUGGUGCCUCCUCGUUCUAUGAAACAACAGCUUUGUUAGAGAAGUACAAGGGAAAGUAUCAUUGCCAGGUUUGCACUAUUUCCCCCUCUCACAGACUGUAUUUUACACAGCUGACAGUGCAUUUGUUACAGCCUACCUUCAGAUGUGUGCCAACAGGACAUACUGGAAAUUGUGCACCCAGACCAGAGGAUUUCUUAACCAUAGGCCUCUGACAUCUGCUGCACACUUGUUACACGGCUGGAACAUGAACAGAGCUUUUAAUUUUGCUCUUUGAUUUUUGCAUUCCUGUUUUUAAAUGCUGUUUAUGUAAUUUAUGCCUUGCAAGCCCACAGAAGUUUGGUGGAAAGGAACUUCUUUAUUUGAACUCUCCGAAGUGCAAUAUUUCUCUUGGCUUAAUUUUUCCCUCCUUCUAAGCUUAUGAAUUAUCAUCUGACAAAUUGGAUCUGUUCUUUUCCAACAAGUUAUUUGAACACAUACUUGUAGCUGUUUUUAAGAACAGUACAGCUUUCAGAUAACUUCAUUGUUAUUUUAUGUGCCAGAUGUGGUUUGUUUUCCACAGUUGGAGUAUUAGAAAAAUGUUGCAUAACCACAAACAUCCAUCUAUUCUUUUACAAAUAGAAAUUAAAAUCUACAGAUAAAAGGUAAGUGGAUCAUGCAGAACCCAACACUGCCUUAUUUCACUUGUCUCUUUAUGCUGAAAUGAGUUCAGGCUUGCAGUCACCUCCCUGCCAAAAUACAAGCUCGUCACUCAUCUUCCCUGUGCCUGGGCUUCCCCAGCCAUCCUGCUUCUCUGCACUCCAGUGACUGCAUUUGACUUAACAUGCCCAUUGACCAGAAGCAUCGAAAGAAAUCCUUCUUUAUUCAAACCUUCAAAGCAAGUUCAGUAAGCCUUUUGGUUACUCUCCACUGACUAUGUCACCCACAUUAACAGAUUUACUUUUGAAAUUUAAAGUUUCAUUAAAAGCUGGGAUGUGCCCUGAAUUUUAUCCAUA